This is a non-coding RNA of Glycine soja, 144 nucleotides long. Lineage: Eukaryota; Viridiplantae; Streptophyta; Magnoliopsida; Fabales; Fabaceae. The record is from Rfam.
UAGUUAUUGUGAUAUUGGCCUGGUUCACUCAGACAUGUAUACCACGGCACGGUUGUGUCCUUGCUAGAAAGAUUUAAAACAAAAUACAUGUUGUGAUUGUGGUUUUGGGUUUGAUUGAGCCGUGCCAAUAUCUCAGUGCUAUUU